AGAGUUUGAUCCUGGCUCAGAUUGAACGCUGGNCGGCAGGCCUAACACAUGCAAGUCCAGCGGAUGACGGGAGCUUGCUNCCUGAUUCAGCGGCGGACGGGUGAGUAAUGCCUAGGAAUCUGCCUGGUAGUGGGGGACAACGUUUCGAAAGGAACGCUAAUACCGCAUACGUCCUACGGGAGAAAGCAGGGGACCUUCGGGCCUUGCGCUAUCAGAUGAGCCUAGGUCGGAUUAGCUAGUUGGUGAGGUAAUGGCUCACCAAGGCGACGAUCCGUAACUGGUCUGAGAGGAUGAUCAGUCACACUGGAACUGAGACACGGUCCAGACUCCUACGGGAGGCAGCAGUGGGGAAUAUUGGACAAUGGGCGAAAGCCUGAUCCAGCCAUGCCGCGUGUGUGAAGAAGGUCUUCGGAUUGUAAAGCACUUUAAGUUGGGAGGAAGGGCAUUAACCUAAUACGUUAGUGUUUUGACGUUACCGACAGAAUAAGCACCGGCUAACUCUGUGCCAGCAGCCGCGGUAAUAC
Molecule: ribosomal RNA, 524 nt
Filed under: Pseudomonas sp. NZPN3
Lineage: Bacteria; Pseudomonadati; Pseudomonadota; Gammaproteobacteria; Pseudomonadales; Pseudomonadaceae
Description: bacterial SSU rRNA
Rfam family: Bacterial small subunit ribosomal RNA
Source: RNAcentral